RNAcentral lists this ribosomal RNA (434 nucleotides) under uncultured archaeon. RNAcentral's name for it is "bacterial SSU rRNA". It matches the Rfam family "Archaeal small subunit ribosomal RNA", at positions 19 to 458 of the family's 1478-position model. The record is from RNAcentral.
GGACCUGACUGCUAUCGGGUUGAUACUAAGCCAUGCGAGUCAUUGUAGCAAUACAAGGCAUACGGCUCAGUAACGCGUAGUCAACCUAACCUAUGGACGGGAAUAACCUCGGGAAACUGAGAAUAAUGCCCGAUAGAACAUUAUGCCUGGAAUGGUUUAUGUUCCAAAUGAUUUAUCGCCGUAGGAUGGGACUGCGGCCUAUCAGUUUGUUGGUGAGGUAAUGGCCCACCAAGACUAUUACAGGUACGGGCUCUGAGAGGAGUGGCCCGGAGAUGGGUACUGAGACACGGACCCAGGCCCUAUGGGGCGCAGCAGGCGAGAAAACUUUGCAAUGUGCGAAAGCACGACAAGGUUAAUCCGAGUGGUUUCUGCUAAAGAAACCUUUUGUCAGUCCUAGAAACACUGAUGAAUAAGGGGUGGGCAAGUUCUGGUGU